GUGAUAGAAGACCUUGUGGAACAGUGGGGACAUGGAGGGACCAUGCUGUCCACUUGGAAUGUGUAUAGCUAGACCUCUGUUCAAUAAAUGCCAAGUUUACAGGCUAUUAUCAGAGGAAGAAUAAAAAGAACUGCAUUCAGGCAAUGUGGUACUUGGCACUUGGUUGUAAUUCCAUGGUUCACAGUUCCCGUUUUUCAAAAUUUUCAGGAGGACACUGGGCAUACUGUUUGAGUAGAAAAAAGUGUGAUGUUUAUCCAUUUCCCUUCAUAGGGUACAAAAUAACAAAGUUACAAUAAGAGACAUUUCCUCUGUUUUCCAGUCUCCACAGCUUUAAGCAGAAACAUUCUGGGUGUGGUUUGACUUCUGGAACCGGUGGCUCUUUGUGGGGCUUCACAAGGCCUACUGGGUGUGGCCAAGACAUUUUCCCCUUAAAAACAUAUCAGAGUAAAAAUUACCAACAGUUUCAGGAGAUCCCUGGCCCAGCAUUCAAGUGAGCAGGGUGCCGCUGUAUCUAUGUGGAAAUCCAGGCAGCCGGGGAAUGCGGGGGGAAUCGAGUGCGGAGCCCGUGACUCAAGCCGGGACAUGUGUGAUCCUCUGAGCGGUGAGAGGGUCAUGUGAAUCCCAGGCUGGACCGCCGCGCCCAGGGACACGGCACUCCUCCCUCCCGGCUGACGCUCAGCCCCUCCCUUCCUCAGUCCAGGCCUCGAUCUUCAGGCUUUUUCUGGGGAUACCCACUAUUUAUGUGGGCAGAGCGUUGCCAUGGCUGCUAAUAACAAACUUAACGUCUGCCGUUUCUGCAACCGCGGCCCGCGGCGGCCCGGCAGGACCAGGGACUCUGACUUCGGUUGUUGUCAUCGUUUUUGCAGCU
Molecule: long non-coding RNA, 868 nt
Organism: Scleropages formosus (Asian bonytongue)
Lineage: Eukaryota; Metazoa; Chordata; Actinopteri; Osteoglossiformes; Osteoglossidae
Exons: 3
Source: RefSeq, a predicted model, not a curated record